RNAcentral lists this ribosomal RNA (440 nucleotides) under uncultured bacterium. RNAcentral describes it as "partial 16S ribosomal RNA". It matches the Rfam family "Bacterial small subunit ribosomal RNA", at positions 338 to 795 of the family's 1533-position model. The record is from RNAcentral.
CCUACGGGAGGCAGCAGUGGGGGAUAUUGCACAAUGGGGGGAACCCUGAUGCAGCGACGCCGCGUGGGUGAAGAAGCGCCUCGGCGCGUAAAGCCCUGUCAGCAGGGAAGAAAAUGACGGUACCUGAAGAAGAAGCCCCGGCUAACUACGUGCCAGCAGCCGCGGUAAUACGUAGGGGGCAAGCGUUAUCCGGAUUUACUGGGUGUAAAGGGAGCGUAGACGGCGACGCAAGUCUGGAGUGAAAGCCCGGGGCCCAACCCCGGGAGUGCUCUGGAAACCGCGGCGCUGGAGUACGGGAGGGGCAGGCGGAAUUCCUGGUGUAGCGGUGAAAUGCGUAGAUAUCAGGAGGAACACCGGCGGCGAAGGCGGCCUGCUGGACCGUGACUGACGUUGAGGCUCGAGAGCGUGGGGAGCAAACAGGAUUAGAUACCCUAGUAGUC